Molecule: ribosomal RNA, 248 nt
Filed under: Clostridiales bacterium
Lineage: Bacteria; Bacillati; Bacillota; Clostridia; Eubacteriales
Description: partial 23S ribosomal RNA
Rfam family: Bacterial large subunit ribosomal RNA
Source: RNAcentral
AGUACGAGAGGACCGGGAUGGACAUACCUCCGGUGCACCAGUUGUCAUGCCAAUGGCAUAGCUGGGUAGCCGCGUAUGGAUGUGAUAAACGCUGAAAGCAUCUAAGCAUGAAGCACACCUCAAGAUUAGAUAUCCAACACCUUCAAGGUGAUAAGGUCGCUUGUAGACUACGAGCUUGAUAGGUCGCAGGUGUAAGUACAGCAAUGUAUUCAGCUAAGCGAUACUAAUAGACCGAAGGCUUGAACUAC